AUUGAACGCUGGCGGCAUGCUUUACACAUGCAAGUCGAACGGCAGCGCGGGCUUCGGCCUGGCGGCGCGUGGCGAACGGGCGAGUAAUGCAUCGGAACGUGCCCAGUAGUGGGGGAUAGCCCGGCGAAAGCCGGAUUAAUACCGCAUACGACCUGAGGGUGAAAGGGGGGGACCGAAAGGCCUCGCGCUAUUUGAUCGGCCGAUGUCGGAUUAGCUAGUUGGUUGGGUAAAGGCUUACCAAGGCGACGAUCCGUAGCUGGUCUGAGAGGACGACCAGCCACACUGGGACUGAGACACGGCCCAGACUCCUACGGGAGGCAGCAGUGGGGAAUUUUGGACAAUGGGGGCAACCCUGAUCCAGCCAUGCCGCGUGCGGGAAGAAGGCCUUCGGGUUGUAAACCGCUUUUGUUCGGGAAGAAAUCCUCUGGGCUAAUACCCCGGGGGGAUGACGGUACCGGAAGAAUAAGCACCGGCUAACUACGUG
Molecule: ribosomal RNA, 484 nt
Filed under: uncultured bacterium
Lineage: Bacteria
Description: partial 16S ribosomal RNA
Rfam family: Bacterial small subunit ribosomal RNA
Source: RNAcentral